Molecule: ribosomal RNA, 461 nt
Filed under: uncultured bacterium
Lineage: Bacteria
Description: bacterial SSU rRNA
Rfam family: Bacterial small subunit ribosomal RNA
Source: RNAcentral
ACCUACGGGGGGCAGCAGUCGAGAAUUUUUCACAAUGGGCGCAAGCCUGAUGGAGCGACGCCGCGUGGGGGAUGAAUGGCUUCGGCCCGUAAACCCCUGUCAUUCGCGAUCAACCGUUGUUAUUUAAAAGAUGAUAACCUGAUAGUAGCGGAAGAGGAAGGGACGGCUAACUCUGUGCCAGCAGCCGCGGUAAUACAGAGGUCCCGAGCGUUGUUCGGAUUCACUGGGCGUAAAGGGUGCGUAGGUGGUAAGGUAAGUCGGAUGUGAAAUCUCGGAGCUCAACUCCGAAACGGCAUUGGAAACUACCUUGCUCGAGGAAUGGAGGGGGGACUGGAAUUCUCGGUGUAGCAGUGAAAUGCGUAGAUAUCGAGAGGAACACCAGUGGCGAAGGCGAGUCCCUGGACAUCUCCUGACACUGAGGCACGAAAGCUAGGGGAGCAAACAGGAUUAGAUACCCUGGU